RNAcentral lists this ribosomal RNA (765 nucleotides) under uncultured Streptococcus sp. Its description in RNAcentral is "bacterial SSU rRNA". It matches the Rfam family "Bacterial small subunit ribosomal RNA", at positions 28 to 776 of the family's 1533-position model. Lineage: Bacteria; Bacillati; Bacillota; Bacilli; Lactobacillales; Streptococcaceae. The record is from RNAcentral.
GACGAACGCUGGCGGCGUGCCUAAUACAUGCAAGUAGAACGCUGAGGUUUGGCGUUUACACUAGACUGAUGAGUUGCGAACGGGUGAGUAACGCGUAGGUAACCUGCCUCAUAGCGGGGGAUAACUAUUGGAAACGAUAGCUAAUACCGCAUAAGAGUAAUUAACACAUGUUGGUUAUUUAAAAGGAGCAAUUGCUUCACUGUGAGAUGGACCUGCGUUGUAUUAGCUAGUUGGUGAGGUAAAGGCUCACCAAGGCGACGAUACAUAGCCGACCUGAGAGGGUGAUCGGCCACACUGGGACUGAGACACGGCCCAGACUCCUACGGGAGGCAGCAGUAGGGAAUCUUCGGCAAUGGACGGAAGUCUGACCGAGCAACGCCGCGUGAGUGAAGAAGGUUUUCGGAUCGUAAAGCUCUGUUGUUAGAGAAGAACGUUGGUAGGAGUGGAAAAUCUACCAAGUGACGGUAACUAACCAGAAAGGGACGGCUAACUACGUGCCAGCAGCCGCGGUAAUACGUAGGUCCCGAGCGUUGUCCGGAUUUAUUGGGCGUAAAGCGAGCGCAGGCGGUUCUUUAAGUCUGAAGUUAAAGGCAGUGGCUUAACCAUUGUACGCUUUGGAAACUGGAGGACUUGAGUGCGGAAGGGGAGAGUGGAAUUCCAUGUGUAGCGGUGAAAUGCGUAGAUAUAUGGAGGAACACCGGUGGCGAAAGCGGCUCUCUGGUCUGUAACUGACGCUGAGGCUCGAAAGCGUGGGGAGCAAACAGG